This 257-nucleotide ribosomal RNA is filed under the name uncultured bacterium. RNAcentral describes it as "partial 16S ribosomal RNA". It matches the Rfam family "Bacterial small subunit ribosomal RNA", at positions 524 to 776 of the family's 1533-position model. The record is from RNAcentral.
UACGAAGGAUCCAAGCGUUGUCCGGAUUUACUGGGUUUAAAGGGUGCGUAGGCGGACUUUUUAAGUCAGUGGUGAAAGCUCGCAGCUUAACUGUGAAAUUGCCAUUGAAACUGAAAGUCUCGAGUGUGGUUGAGGUAACUUGGAAUAUAUCAUGUAGCGGUGAAAUGCUUAGAUAUGAUAUAGAACACCAAUUUGCGAAGGCAGGUUACUGAGCCACAACUGACGCUGAGGCACGAAAAGCGUGGGGAUCAAACAGG